GGGGAUGAAAGGCUUCGACAGCGUGAUACUGGAUGCGUGAUGUCUCUGUCUGGGAUGGCAACGGUUCCCAUGCCCUGUAGUGUGCUUGCACUACUGCGGGGCGAACCCACGGUUGCAAACGACAACUGCCAAAAACAGUGUCAUGGCGAAAGCCCUCGAGAAGAUGGAUGUCUUUAACCGGACUCCUGCUCUCGUGCCGGCAUUCGCUUAAGUUCUCCCUUUCCGGAGAACACAUCACUCCUCUGAUCCUCGCUACGGGGAUGUGAUGCCAUUCGCGAGGCGGAUUCCCGCAUGCCACCGUCGCUCUCGAGCGACGUGGCGCGAUGCGACGGGAGUCGUCACCAAGCAUCGACCCUCCCUGCCGUUCUUCGUCCGGUUCUUAUGGCAGGGCGAUGCGAAACGGACAUGACAGUACGGAUACCGCGUUCACACGUUGGACCCGGGUUCAAUUCCCGGCAUCUCCACCA
This 467-nucleotide transfer-messenger RNA is filed under the name Patescibacteria group. RNAcentral's name for it is "JACPKC01 sp016187225 Standard tmRNA". It matches the Rfam family "transfer-messenger RNA". From Rfam's summary of the family: Bacterial tmRNA, also known as 10Sa RNA or SsrA, is named for its dual tRNA and mRNA-like properties. Its role is to liberate the mRNA from a stalled ribosome. RNAcentral also lists the same sequence under 1 other name. The record is from RNAcentral.